Molecule: transfer RNA, 80 nt
Filed under: Myxococcales bacterium
Lineage: Bacteria; Pseudomonadati; Myxococcota; Myxococcia; Myxococcales
Description: tRNA-Lys
Rfam family: tRNA
About the family: Transfer RNA (tRNA) molecules are approximately 80 nucleotides in length. Their secondary structure includes four short double-helical elements and three loops (D, anti-codon, and T loops). Further hydrogen bonds mediate the characteristic L-shaped molecular structure. tRNAs have two regions of fundamental functional importance: the anti-codon, which is responsible for specific mRNA codon recognition, and the 3' end, to which the tRNAs corresponding amino acid is attached (by aminoacyl-tRNA synthetases). tRNAs cope with the degeneracy of the genetic code in two manners: having more than one tRNA (with a specific anti-codon) for a particular amino acid; and 'wobble' base-pairing, i.e. permitting non-standard base-pairing at the 3rd anti-codon position.
Source: RNAcentral
GGGUCAUUAGCUCAAUUGGUAGAGCAGUGGACUCUUAAUCCAUUGGCUCCAGGUUCNNGGUUCGAGUCCUGGAUGACCCA